RNAcentral lists this ribosomal RNA (146 nucleotides) under Burkholderia cenocepacia. Its description in RNAcentral is "partial 16S ribosomal RNA". It matches the Rfam family "Bacterial small subunit ribosomal RNA", at positions 1 to 142 of the family's 1533-position model. Lineage: Bacteria; Pseudomonadati; Pseudomonadota; Betaproteobacteria; Burkholderiales; Burkholderiaceae. The record is from RNAcentral.
UUGAACUGAAGAGUUUGAUCCUGGCUCAGAUUGAACGCUGGCGGCAUGCCUUACACAUGCAAGUCGAACGGCAGCACGGGUGCUUGCACCUGGUGGCGAGUGGCGAACGGGUGAGUAAUACAUCGGAACAUGUCCUGUAGUGGGGG